This 253-nucleotide ribosomal RNA is filed under the name uncultured bacterium. Its description in RNAcentral is "partial 16S ribosomal RNA". It matches the Rfam family "Bacterial small subunit ribosomal RNA", at positions 524 to 776 of the family's 1533-position model. The record is from RNAcentral.
UACGGGGGGAGCAAGCGUUGUUCGGAUUUACUGGGCGUAAAGGGCGCGUAGGCGGCCACUGCAAGUCGGUUGUGAAAUCUCCGGGCUUAACUCGGAAAGGUCAAUCGAUACUGCAGGGCUAGAGUGCAGAAGGGGCAACUGGAAUUCUCGGUGUAGCGGUGAAAUGCGUAGAUAUCGAGAGGAACACCUGCGGCGAGGCGGGUUGCUGGGCUGACACUGACGCUGAAGCGCGAAAGCUAGGGGAGCGAACGGG